RNAcentral lists this transfer RNA (73 nucleotides) under Puccinia triticina 1-1 BBBD Race 1. RNAcentral describes it as "tRNA-Und (NNN) (tRNA-Und-NNN-45-1)". It matches the Rfam family "tRNA". Rfam says of the family: Transfer RNA (tRNA) molecules are approximately 80 nucleotides in length. The record is from Rfam by way of RNAcentral. Lineage: Eukaryota; Fungi; Basidiomycota; Pucciniomycetes; Pucciniales; Pucciniaceae.
GCGUCUGUAGCCUAGUUGGUAAAAGCAGCACUCUAGUAUGUUUCUUGUGUGAGUUUGACUCUCACCAGACACA